This is a long non-coding RNA of Telopea speciosissima, 199 nucleotides long. RefSeq lists it as uncharacterized. The transcript is spliced from 2 exons. NCBI's taxonomy places the organism in Eukaryota, Viridiplantae, Streptophyta, Magnoliopsida, Proteales, Proteaceae. The record is from RefSeq and is a predicted model, not a curated record.
CAUGCACACAACUGCAGUGGGCUGUGGUUUAUGCUUUAAUCAGAUCUGCUGCAAUGUAGUGUUCUGCCAAAUUCUAUGCAUGAUUUAGAUCCAAAUUUGGAAUACGUAUAUACUACCCAGGUCAACUUCAAGUCGUUAUUCUUUAGUGUAUUUCAACUCCUCAUUCAGAAAUGGAGGAUAAAUGUCUCCCUCCAACUUG